AUUCUGUGUAAUUCCUGUCCACAGUCUGUUCAUUUUUAAUGAAAACCUAUUGCUGUUAUUUUCUAUUAUGAAUUAAUGGUGAUGUGUGUUUUUUAAAUUUUGUAUACUUGCUCUCACCUUAAAAUAUAUCUUAAGAGACUUUUUCCCCGUUUUCCUUUCUGCUUUCCAAGACUCCAGGAAAAACAGCUUCCAUGGCACAUUUUGUACAGGGCACAUCUAGAAUGAUUGCUGCAGAAAGUUCUACGGAGCAUAAAGAGUGUGCUGAAUCAUCAACAAGAAAGAACUUGACGAAUUCUCUUGAACAAAAGAUAAGGUGUUUGGAAAAACAAAGAAAAGAGCUCCUGGAAGUUAACCAGCAAUGGGAUCAGCAAUUUAGAAGUAUGAAAGAGUUAUACGAAAGAAAGGUAGCAGAGAUGAAGAUGAAACUUGACGCCGCAGAAAGAUUCCUCAGCACGCGGGAGAAGGAUCCGCAUCAGAGGCAGAGAGAGGACGGCAGGCAGAGAGAGGACGGCAGGCAGCGCGACCUGACCCGGGACCGGCUGCAGCGGGAGGAGAAGGAAAAGGACCACCUAAAUGAAGAAUUACAUGAAUUGAAGGAAGAAAAUAAACUUUUAAAGGAAAAAAAUACUCUUGUGAACAAGGAAAAGGAACAUUACGAAUGUGAAAUAAAACGCCUCAAUAAGGUAUCAGUCAGGUCAAGCAUGGGAGAUUAAAAUGAGAAGUCCCUGCAUAAAACAUUCUUACUGAGAGUCACAACAAAAUCUAGGCUGCAGUGUGGGUCCCACCCUUGGAGGCUUGCACAAGAAAUUAUCUGUGAUUUUAUAAAUCACUCCUAGCUGCAGCUUUCAGCCAUACUUGGCUAAGCAGGCUUUAGGGAAUUUUUGUCCCUACAAAGAUUCAUCAUGAAAAAGAGAAAUGAGGAGGAAUUAUAGAGACAGUAAGAACGUUUCUUAGUUUGAAGAACCACAUAAAGCAAGUGGGUGUUUGCAAACAAUA
RNAcentral lists this small RNA (996 nucleotides) under Pongo abelii (Sumatran orangutan). Its description in RNAcentral is "retained intron". The record is from RNAcentral. Lineage: Eukaryota; Metazoa; Chordata; Mammalia; Primates; Hominidae.